RNAcentral lists this transfer RNA (112 nucleotides) under bacterium. Its description in RNAcentral is "tRNA-OTHER". It matches the Rfam family "tRNA". Rfam says of the family: Transfer RNA (tRNA) molecules are approximately 80 nucleotides in length. Their secondary structure includes four short double-helical elements and three loops (D, anti-codon, and T loops). The record is from RNAcentral.
CACCCAGUGGAGCAGUAGGUAGCUCACUUUAACAUAACCUGGAGCAUAAUAGAUGCGAUCGUGAAAAGCAAAGGGGUUAAAGAGGUCGGGGGUUCGAGUCCCCCCUGGGUUA